Molecule: ribosomal RNA, 254 nt
Filed under: uncultured bacterium
Lineage: Bacteria
Also listed under: 1 other name
Description: partial 16S ribosomal RNA
Rfam family: Bacterial small subunit ribosomal RNA
Source: RNAcentral
UACGUAGGGUGCGAGCGUUAAUCGGAAUUACUGGGCGUAAAGCGUGCGUAGGCGGUUCUCCAAGUCCGUUGUGAAAUCCCCGGGCUUAACCUGGGAAUGGCAGUGGAAACUAGGGGACUUGAAUCUGGCAGAGGGGGGUGGAAUUCCACGUGUAGCAGUGAAAUGCGUAGAGAUGUGGAGGAACACCGAUGGCGAAGGCAGCCCCCUGGGCUGAGAUUGACGCUGAGUGCACGAAAGCGUGGGGAGCAAACAGG